This 497-nucleotide ribosomal RNA is filed under the name uncultured bacterium. RNAcentral's name for it is "partial 16S ribosomal RNA". It matches the Rfam family "Bacterial small subunit ribosomal RNA", at positions 28 to 507 of the family's 1533-position model. The record is from RNAcentral.
GAUGAACGCUGGCGGCGUGCCUAAUACAUGCAAGUCGAGCGAACAGACGAGGAGCUUGCUCCUCUGACGUUAGCGGCGGACGUGUGAGUAACACGUGGAUAACCUACCUAUAAGACUGGGAUAACUUCGGGAAACCGGAGCUAAUACCGGAUAAUAUAUUGAACCGCAUGGUUCAAUAGUGAAAGACGGUUUUGCUGUCACUUAUAGAUGGAUCCGCGCGGCAUUAGCUAGUUGGUAAGGUAACGGCUUACCAAGGCAACGAUGCGUAGCCGACCUGAGAGGGUGAUAGGCCACCCUGGAACUGAGACACGGUCAAGACUCCUACGGGAGGCAGCAGUAGGGAAUCUUCCGCAAUGGGCGAAAGCUUGACGGAGCAACGCCGCGUGAGUGAUGAAGGUCUUCGGAUCGUAAAACUCUGUUAUUAGGGAAGAACAAAUGUGUAAGUAACUAUGCACGUCUUGACGGUACCUAAUCAGAAAGCCACGGCUAACUACGUG